UUUAAAUUGAGAGUUUGAUCCUGGCUCAGGAUGAACGCUGGCGGCGUGCCUAAUACAUGCAAGUCGUACGCUAGCCGCUGAAUUGAUCCUUCGGGUGAAGUGAGGCAAUGACUAGAGUGGCGAACUGGUGAGUAACACGUAAGAAACCUGCCCUUUAGUGGGGGAUAACAUUUGGAAACAGAUGCUAAUACCGCGUAACAACAAAUCACACAUGUGAUCUGUUUGAAAGGUCCUUUUGGAUCGCUAGAGGAUGGUCUUGCGGCGUAUUAGCUUGUUGGUAGGGUAGAAGCCUACCAAGGCAAUGAUGCGUAGCCGAGUUGAGAGACUGGCCGGCCACAUUGGGACUGAGACACUGCCCAAACUCCUACGGGAGGCUGCAGUAGGGAAUUUUCCGCAAUGCACGAAAGUGUGACGGAGCGACGCCGCGUGUGUGAUGAAGGCUUUCGGGUCGUAAAGCACUGUUGUAAGGGAAGAAUAACUGAAUUCAGAGAAAGUUUUCAGCUUGACGGUACCUUACCAGAAAGGGAUGGCUAAAUACGUGCCAGCAGCCGCGGUAAUACGUAUGUCCCGAGC
Molecule: ribosomal RNA, 573 nt
Filed under: Oenococcus oeni
Lineage: Bacteria; Bacillati; Bacillota; Bacilli; Lactobacillales; Lactobacillaceae
Description: bacterial SSU rRNA
Rfam family: Bacterial small subunit ribosomal RNA
Source: RNAcentral